Long non-coding RNA from Mytilus trossulus (common blue mussel), 395 nucleotides. RefSeq lists it as uncharacterized. The record is from RefSeq and is a predicted model, not a curated record. Lineage: Eukaryota; Metazoa; Mollusca; Bivalvia; Mytilida; Mytilidae. The transcript is spliced from 3 exons.
UGGUCUUAUAAAAUAUUUUGGAAAGUUAAGGUUACAUAGUUGCCAAAGCAGGUAACCAGUAAAUAACCUGGUAAAAAUGUGAUUGUUUACUUCCGGUGCAGGUUACUUUCUUAUAUGCAAUGAAAUGUAGUGUGAAAUUUUCACUGUAGCACUGGAAAGGAUUAAACUUUAUUCAUGCAAAGUAUUUCUUUGGUUGAAAUAAAGUGUUCACAUGUUCUGAAGAACAUUCUGUUGAAAAAUCUUAUAUGUGAAUUGGUCUGCAGAUGACACUUCAGCAUUAAAACAAAAGAUAUCAAGUUUUGAUGAAAAAGGAAGGAAGGAGGAAAAAUGGACCAAAACAGACCAAAACAGACCUUCAAAUGAACUCUAAAAGGUGCAAUAAAAUUGUUUAUCAU